CACAUGCACACAUGCACAUACUGACAGACACACAUACUCACACACACACUGACAGAACCACACACACACACAAACUCACAGACACACACACUCACACACACAUACUCACAUGCACACACACACUGACAGACACACAUACUCACACACACACACUGACAGACACACAUACUCACACACACACUGACAGACACACAUACUCACACACACACUGACAGACAUACUCACAUGCACACACACACACUGACAGACACACAUACUCACACACACACUGACAGACACACAUACUCACACACACACUGACAGACAUACUCACAUGCACACACACACACUGACAGACACACAUACUCACACACACACUGACAGACACACAUACUCACACACACACUGACAGACACACAUACUCACA
Non-coding RNA from Pelobates cultripes (western spadefoot toad), 406 nucleotides. NCBI's taxonomy places the organism in Eukaryota, Metazoa, Chordata, Amphibia, Anura, Pelobatidae. The record is from the annotation of a GenBank genome assembly.